This 479-nucleotide ribosomal RNA is filed under the name uncultured bacterium. RNAcentral describes it as "bacterial SSU rRNA". It matches the Rfam family "Bacterial small subunit ribosomal RNA", at positions 66 to 524 of the family's 1533-position model. The record is from RNAcentral.
ACGGAGAUUUCAGCAAUGAAAUCUUAGUGGCGAACGGGUGAGUAACGCGUAGACAACCUACCUCCUAGAUGGGGACAACACUGCGAAAGUGGUGCUAAUACCGAAUGUUGUACUUUGAUUGCAUAAUCAAGGUACUAAAGAUGGCCUCUAUUUAUAAGCUAUCGCUAGAAGAUGGGUCUGCGUCUGAUUAGCUAGUUGGUGAGGUAAUGGCUCACCAAGGCGACGAUCAGUAGCCGGUCUGAGAGGAUGAACGGCCACACUGGGACUGAGACACGGCCCAGACUCCUACGGGAGGCAGCAGUGGGGAAUCUUCCGCAAUGGACGAAAGUCUGACGGAGCAACGCCGCGUGAGUGAAGAAGGUUUUCGGAUCGUAAAACUCUGUUUUCAGGGACGAAUGUGCAGCUUGUAAAUAAUGAGUUGUAAUGACGGUACCUGAGUAGAAAGCCACGGCUAACUACGUGCCAGCAGCCGCGGUAAU